Molecule: ribosomal RNA, 1189 nt
Filed under: human gut metagenome
Description: bacterial LSU rRNA
Rfam family: Bacterial large subunit ribosomal RNA
Source: RNAcentral
GUCAAAAGGGAAACAGCCCAGACCCACAGCUAAGGUCCCUAAUGUGCGCUAAGUGGAAAACGAUGUGGAGUUGCGAAAACAACCAGGAUGUUGGCUUAGAAGCAGCCACUCAUUAAAAGAGUGCGUAAUAGCUCACUGGUCGAGUGACUCUGCGCGGAAAAUAUAACGGGGCUAAGCACACAACCGAAGCUUGGGAUUGUCAAAAGACAGUGGUAGGGGAGCGUCGAAUACGGGGUGAAGUCGUAUCGGAAGGAACGGUGGACUGUAUUCGAGUGAGAAUGCCGGAAUGAGUAGCGAGAAUUAUGUGGGAAUCAUAAUGGCCGAAAAUCUAAGGUUUCUUGGGGAAGGUUCGUCCGCCCAAGGUAAGUCGGGAGCUAAGGCGAGGCCGAGAGGCGUAGUCGAUGCACAUACGGUAGAAAUUCCGUAACCACCGAAACUUAAGUUAGAGGGACACUUCGAGAUAGCGGAACCGCGGCGUUGGUAGACCGCGGCGAAAGGGACUGAAAUAUAGUAGGGAAGUCCGCGAUGCUCGGAGGCGAGAAAAGCUCUAAGGAAUGCUAAGGUGCCCGUACCGCAAACCGACACAGGUAGAUGAGGAGAGAAUCCUAAGGCCAACGGGAGAAGGGUUGUCAAGGAACUCGGCAAGUUGACCCCGUAACUUCGGAAGAAGGGGAGCCUCGAAAGAGGCCGCAGUGAAUAGGCCCAAGCAACUGUUUACCAAAAACACAGGUCUAUGCUAAAUCGAAAGAUGACGUAUAUGGGCUGACGCCUGCCCGGUGCCGGAAGGUUAAGAGGAGAUGUCAGGCAACGAAGCAUCGAAUUGAAGCCCCGGUAAACGGCGGCCGUAACUAUAACGGUCCUAAGGUAGCGAAAUUCCUUGUCAGGUAAGUUCUGACCCGCACGAAUGGCGUAAUGAUCUGGGCACUGUCUCGACAGCCCACCCGGCGAAAUUGUAGUACUGGUGAAGAUGCCAGUUACCCGCAACUAGACGGAAAGACCCCAUGGAGCUUUACUGCAGCUUAAUACUGGAAAUCGGUAAUUCAUGUACAGGAUAGGUGGGAGACGGAGAAGCAUGGUCGUCAGGCCAUGUGGAGUUGCCCUUGGGAUCCCACUCUUCGAUGCCUGCUUUUCCAACCUGCGGCCGUGACCCUGGUCGGGGGACCCUGUUAGGCGGGCAUGCUGCUCGGGG